This 404-nucleotide ribosomal RNA is filed under the name uncultured bacterium. RNAcentral's name for it is "bacterial SSU rRNA". It matches the Rfam family "Bacterial small subunit ribosomal RNA", at positions 355 to 774 of the family's 1533-position model. The record is from RNAcentral.
UGGGGAAUAUUGGGCAAUGGACGCAAGUCUGACCCAGCAACGCCGCGUGAAGGAAGAAGGCUUUCGGGUUGUAAACUUCUUUUGUCAGGGAACAGUAGAAGAGGGUACCUGACGAAUAAGCCACGGCUAACUACGUGCCAGCAGCCGCGGUAAUACGUAGGUGGCAAGCGUUGUCCGGAUUUACUGGGUGUAAAGGGCGUGCAGCCGGGCUGGCAAGUCAGGCGUGAAAUCCCAGGGCUCAACCCUGGAACUGCGUUUGAAACUGCUGGUCUUGAGUACCGGAGAGGUCAUCGGAAUUCCUUGUGUAGCGGUGAAAUGCGUAGAUAUAAGGAAGAACACCAGUGGCGAAGGCGGAUGACUGGACGGCAACUGACGGUGAGGCGCGAAAGCGUGGGGAGCAAACA